This is a small nuclear RNA of Eriocheir sinensis (Chinese mitten crab), 118 nucleotides long. RefSeq annotates it as U5 spliceosomal RNA. NCBI's taxonomy places the organism in Eukaryota, Metazoa, Arthropoda, Malacostraca, Decapoda, Varunidae. The record is from RefSeq and is a predicted model, not a curated record. The transcript has a single exon.
CAACUCUGGUUUCCCUUCAAAACGCAUAAAUCUUUCGCCUUUUACUAAAGAUUUCCGUGGAGGGGAACGACUCAAUGAGUCUUAUAUAUUUUUUUUCUUGGCCCACUUAGUGGGCCUA